CUCCUCUUAUUUUAGGUGGUGGUAGUAUUUUAAACUCAGAACUAUGUAAAGAACUGGAGAUAAUGCUAAACUGCUUAGCUGCGAAGGGGUGGCUACAGACCAAGUGAGGAAAUGUUUGCAUAAAUCCUAUGUAGGCAGAUUCUCACCUAGAAAAAGCCUGCGUUUCUGCCAAAAUAUUCAGAAUCUCUCUGGCAUCCACCGCAAGACAAUUGUCAGGCUUGAUUGGUCCGGCAGGGAAAGGCUUUUGCUUUCAUUUCUGUGUGUUUGGUGCCAGCAUAUUUCCCUGACAAGUGAUGUGAGAGGUGACUGGAAGAGUUCAUUGACUGUGGAGAUGCCGAUGCAGGGAACCUCUUUCCUUCUUCUGCAGAGAUGAGCGACGAGGACAAGAAAUGUUGGAUUAACUCAGGGGUCUGUGGUUGUCCUUUGUUCCAAAGCUGGUUCAUGAAGAGUUAGAGAGAAACUAGACCAUCCAGGAAAAAGAGCAGAACAGCGGGAUAUCCUCAGAGAAUCACCAGAGUUUCCUCAGCUAGCUGUACAGAAGGAGUGUGGGCUGGGAAGCUAGGAAGAUGUGGCUUUCCGUGCAUGGUGCCACUUGAUGUUGUCAGUGCCAGAGAUUCUCUCAUCUCCAGAAAGCAGACAGAAAUCUCCUAUGCUCCUGCUCCCAUGAGGAAAUCCAGACUCUGGUCCACUGUUGCAAGGAACAGCUGCACUGACUUUUAGAACUCUUUGGGUCAUACCUUUACUAAGCCAGGCACUGACUGAUUUUGAAUUUGGCUGGAAUAUAGUUUGAUAUUUAGCUGUAUGAGACUAGCAUAAAAUUGUGCUUCCUGGGUUUCCUGUAAAACACACAUUCAACAGGCUAGGAAAGUAUACUUUAACCUGAUGCAAAACUGUCUUCAUUGCCUAGUAUUUCUUUCAGCUAUAUUACAUCAGUCACAAUAUGAUAACUAUUCGUGUGAUCUGACAUAAUCUGUGAUAGUAUUUUAACUGUCCUCUUUUCUAUGUCUUGCCAUGGACAAAUUUAAUAAAUAAUUGUAUGUUAGAUUUUAUGCCUUCUGUUCAUGUAAUUCUGUGACUCUGGUUCAGCCCCAAAUACACCUAAAAUUAAGUCUUUGUGUUUUAUCAUAGAUUAAAAUGUCACUGUGAACAGUUCUACCAUUGUCUCAAUUAGAUCUAAUAAAUGUAUUCCCGUUAGCCAAUUAAAUAAUUCUGUUUUAUGAGAGAUUGCAUUAAUAACGAUUGGUAUACAUUAAAUCAAUUUUUAGAAGGGUAUUACCAUGAAUAAAACUCAUCAGGAACAUAUCUCCCUGCUGUUGUUUUCAGGCUUCUAUCAUUUAAAUGACUUAUCUCAAAAUUCAGAACAAAAGGACUUGACUGAAGCCCUUUUAAGUUGAUUGAAAGUCAAACAAAUUUCAAAAUGCUUAGAACUAGCUCUGCUAGUUACUGCUAUCUUUCUAUCAUAGAUUAAUAGAAAAUCAGAGCAGGGAAGUCCUUUACAGGGUCAUUUAGUUAUUUAACCAGAAACAGGAGCUGUCAGUAGGUUCAGUGGCUGCAUAAUUCCUGGUGAUGAAAAUUUACUUAUUUUGAAUGUUUUUAGUUCUUUCUUAUUCUAUAAAAGUAUGUCUUUUCCCAUUGAUCUUUUUUUUUUUCUCUUUCCUGGCCUGCACUGAGGAUACAAUUU
Molecule: long non-coding RNA, 1681 nt
Organism: Cygnus olor (mute swan)
Lineage: Eukaryota; Metazoa; Chordata; Aves; Anseriformes; Anatidae
Exons: 5
Source: RefSeq, a predicted model, not a curated record